CCCUUAGAUGUCCUGGGCCGCACGCGCGCUACACUGAUGCAUGCAACGAGUUUAUAACCUUGGCCUGAAAGGUCUGGGUAAUCUUUUGAACGUGCAUCGUGAUAGGGAUAGAUUAUUGCAAUUGUUAAUCUUGAACGAGGAAUUCCUAGUAAACGCGAGUCAUCAGCUCGCAUUGACUACGUCCCUGCCCUUUGUACACACCGCCCGUCGCACCUACCGAUUGAAUGGUUCGGUGAAGAUCUCGGACUUCGAUAUUUAUUCUUUAUUGAGUUUAUAUUGUGGGAAGUUAUCUAAACCUCAUCAUUUAGAGGAAGGUGAAGUCGUAACA
This 328-nucleotide ribosomal RNA is filed under the name uncultured eukaryote. RNAcentral's name for it is "partial 18S ribosomal RNA". It matches the Rfam family "Eukaryotic small subunit ribosomal RNA", at positions 1470 to 1796 of the family's 1831-position model. The record is from RNAcentral.